This 429-nucleotide ribosomal RNA is filed under the name bacterium. Its description in RNAcentral is "partial 16S ribosomal RNA". It matches the Rfam family "Bacterial small subunit ribosomal RNA", at positions 355 to 776 of the family's 1533-position model. The record is from RNAcentral.
UAGGGAAUCUUCGGCAAUGGGGGCAACCCUGACCGAGCAACGCCGCGUGAGUGAAGAAGGUUUUCGGAUCGUAAAGCUCUGUUGUAAGAGAAGAACGUGUGUGAGAGUGGAAAGUUCACACAGUGACGGUAACUUACCAGAAAGGGACGGCUAACUACGUGCCAGCAGCCGCGGUAAUACGUAGGUCCCGAGCGUUGUCCGGAUUUAUUGGGCGUAAAGCGAGCGCAGGCGGUUUAAUAAGUCUGAAGUUAAAGGCAGUGGCUUAACCAUUGUUCGCUUUGGAAACUGUUAAACUUUAGUGCAGAAGGGAAGAGUGGAAUUCCAUGUGUAGCGGUGAAAUGCGUAGAUAUAUGGAGGAACACCGGUGGCGAAAGCGGCUCUCUGGUCUGUAACUGACGCUGAGGCUCGAAAGCGUGGGGAGCAAACAGG